RNAcentral lists this small RNA (127 nucleotides) under Marmota monax (woodchuck). The record is from RNAcentral. Lineage: Eukaryota; Metazoa; Chordata; Mammalia; Rodentia; Sciuridae.
GCCAGGCAUGGUGGCGCACACCUGUAAUCCCGGCGACUCAGGAGGUUGAGGCAGGAGGAUCGUAAGUUUAAACCCAGCCUCAGCAACUUAGCAAGGCCCUGAGCAACUCAGCAAGACCCUGCCUCUA